RNAcentral lists this transfer RNA (83 nucleotides) under Prevotellaceae bacterium. Its description in RNAcentral is "tRNA-Leu". It matches the Rfam family "tRNA". From Rfam's summary of the family: Transfer RNA (tRNA) molecules are approximately 80 nucleotides in length. Their secondary structure includes four short double-helical elements and three loops (D, anti-codon, and T loops). Further hydrogen bonds mediate the characteristic L-shaped molecular structure. tRNAs have two regions of fundamental functional importance: the anti-codon, which is responsible for specific mRNA codon recognition, and the 3' end, to which the tRNAs corresponding amino acid is attached (by aminoacyl-tRNA synthetases). tRNAs cope with the degeneracy of the genetic code in two manners: having more than one tRNA (with a specific anti-codon) for a particular amino acid; and 'wobble' base-pairing, i.e. permitting non-standard base-pairing at the 3rd anti-codon position. The record is from RNAcentral. Lineage: Bacteria; Pseudomonadati; Bacteroidota; Bacteroidia; Bacteroidales; Prevotellaceae.
ACCCGAAUGGCGGAAUGGUAGACGCACUAGUUUCAGGUACUAGCGGUUGGAAGACUGUGCAGGUUCGAGUCCUGUUUCGGGUA